AGGGUUGGCCACCUUGAGAAGCUGCGAAGAUGGCGGAGUAAGGCGUGCCGCUGCAAACUGGCCUCUGGGCCGGGGGCGAGCAGCCCCCGGGAGGCCGAGUGCAUCUGUUGGACCGUGCGAGGAGAAGAAAAAAAAUAUCGGCCAGAGGAGAGGAACUAACCGAACAUUCUUCCUCCCUACCUUAUAGAGGGGAGUGGUCAUCUACACUAAAGCAAAGUGUUAGGCGCGUCCGUGCGAAGAGACCACCAAACAGGCUUUGUGUUCCUUAUCACAGGAAGAAAAUUUUCCUUGACCUUUAGGUGCUUUUAUAUUCAUCUCAAAAACAAAAUUCUGAACUCAGGACUUGGCAAACCACCGCUGAAACUUCACUUCUACACAGAGGCUUUCUUUCCCAGAAACCCAGACCAGAUGGAGUUUCACUCUGUCGCCCAGGCUGGAGUGCAGUGGCACGAUCUCGGCUGACUGCAGCCUCUACCUGCUGGGUUCAAGCAAUUCUUCUGCCUCAGGUUCCUGAGUAGCUGGGAUUACAGAGAUGGGUUUCACCAUGUUAGCCAGGCUGGUCUCAAACUCCUGACCUCGAGUGAUCCACCGCCUCAGCCUCCUAAAGUGCUGGGAUUACAGGCAUAAGCCACUGUGCUCAGCCUACUUUGUCUUUCCUGAAAAACCUUUUAAAAUUUAUUUGAUGGACUUUGUCUCAAAAUAAAUAAAAUAAAAUGUAUUUGAUGAUCAAUA
This 732-nucleotide long non-coding RNA is filed under the name Homo sapiens (human). RNAcentral describes it as "OIP5 antisense RNA 1". Lineage: Eukaryota; Metazoa; Chordata; Mammalia; Primates; Hominidae. The record is from RNAcentral.